Molecule: ribosomal RNA, 326 nt
Filed under: uncultured eukaryote
Lineage: Eukaryota
Description: partial 18S ribosomal RNA
Rfam family: Eukaryotic small subunit ribosomal RNA
Source: RNAcentral
CCCUUAGAUGUUCUGGGCUGCACGCGCGCUGCACGGAUGCACUCAACGAGUUUACGACCUUGCCCGAUAGGGUUGGGUAAUCUUUUUAAAAUGCAUCGUGAUGGGGAUAGAUUAUUGCAAUUAUUAAUCUUCAACGAGGAAUUCCUAGUAAGCGCGAGUCAUCAGCUCGUGCUGAUUACGUCCCUGCCCUUUGUACACACCGCCCGUCGCUCCUACCGAUUGAGUGCUCAGGUGAAUAAUUCGGACUGCAGCAAUGUUUGGAUCCCGAACGUUGCAGCGGAAAGUUUAGUGAACCUUAUCACUUAGAGGAAGGAGAAGUCGUAACA